Molecule: small nucleolar RNA, 96 nt
Filed under: Chinchilla lanigera (long-tailed chinchilla)
Lineage: Eukaryota; Metazoa; Chordata; Mammalia; Rodentia; Chinchillidae
Description: Small nucleolar RNA snR66 (ENSCLAG00000018695.1)
Source: RNAcentral
UUUCUUAAAUUCUGAAAGAAUACAAAAAUGAAAAAUAAGCAAAGCAGGUAACAGAAAGAAGCACAGUAAAUGCAACAUAAUACUUAUAGUAAGUAA